This 467-nucleotide ribosomal RNA is filed under the name uncultured bacterium. Its description in RNAcentral is "partial 16S ribosomal RNA". It matches the Rfam family "Bacterial small subunit ribosomal RNA", at positions 28 to 506 of the family's 1533-position model. The record is from RNAcentral.
GACGAACGCUGGCGGCGUGCUUAACACAUGCAAGUCGAACGGCAAGGCCCUGCUUUUGUGGGGUUCUCGAGUGGCGAACGGGUGCGUAACACGUGAGUAACCUGCCCUUGACUUUGGGAUAACUUCAGGAAACUGGGGCUAAUACCGUAUAGGAUCUCCUGCUGCAUGGUGGGGGUUGGAAAGUUUCGGCGGUUGGGGAUGGACUCGCGGCUUAUCAGCUUGUUGGUGGGGUAGUGGCUUACCAAGGCUUUGACGGGUAGCCGGCCUGAGAGGGUGACCGGGCACAGUGGGACUGAGAUACGGCCCAGACUGCUACGGGAGGAAGGAGUGGGGAAUAUUGCACAAUGGGCGGAAGCCGGAAGCAGCAACGCCGCGUGCGGGAUGACGGCCUUCGGGUUGUAAAACGCUUUCGCCUGUGACGAAGCGUGAGUGACGGUAAUGGGUAAAGAAGCACCGGCUAACUACGU